GGGGCGGGCGGCUUACACAUGCAAGUCGAGCGGUAACAGAGAGUAGCUUGCUACUUUGCUGACGAGCGGCGGACGGGUGAGUAAUGCUUGGGAAUAUGCCUUAUGGUGGGGGACAACAGUUGGAAACGACUGCUAAUACCGCAUAACGUCUACGGACCAAAGGGGGGGAUCUUCGGACCUCUCGCCAUUUGAUUAGCCCAAGUGAGAUUAGCUAGUUGGUAAGGUAAAGGCUUACCAAGGCGACGAUCUCUAGCUGGUUUGAGAGGAUGAUCAGCCACACUGGGACUGAGACACGGCCCAGACUCCUACGGGAGGCAGCAGUGGGGAAUAUUGCACAAUGGGCGAAAGCCUGAUGCAGCCAUGCCGCGUGUGUGAAGAAGGCCUUCGGGUUGUAAAGCACUUUCAGUUGUGAGGAAAGGGGUGUAGUUAAUAGCUGCAUCCUGUGACGUUAGCAACAGAAGAAGCACCGGCUAACUUCGUGCCAGCAGCCGCGGUAAC
Molecule: ribosomal RNA, 498 nt
Filed under: uncultured Colwellia sp.
Lineage: Bacteria; Pseudomonadati; Pseudomonadota; Gammaproteobacteria; Alteromonadales; Colwelliaceae
Description: bacterial SSU rRNA
Rfam family: Bacterial small subunit ribosomal RNA
Source: RNAcentral